RNAcentral lists this ribosomal RNA (503 nucleotides) under uncultured bacterium. Its description in RNAcentral is "partial 16S ribosomal RNA". It matches the Rfam family "Bacterial small subunit ribosomal RNA", at positions 28 to 523 of the family's 1533-position model. The record is from RNAcentral.
GAUGAACGCUAGUGAUAGGCCUAACACAUGCAAGUCGAGGGGCAGCAUAGAGUAGCAAUACUUUGAUGGCGACCGGCGCACGGGUGAGUAACACGUAUGCAACCUACCUACAUCAGGGGAAUAACCCGGAGAAAUUCGGACUAAUACCGCAUAAUACAGGGAUGCCGCAUGGCAAUAUUUGUUAAAGAUUUAUCGGAUGUAGAUGGGCAUGCGUUCCAUUAGCUAGUUGGUGAGGUAACGGCUUACCAAGGCUACGAUGGAUAGGGGAACUGGGAGGUGUGUCCCCCCCACUGGAGCUGAGACACGGACCAGAGUCCGACGGGAGGCAGCAGGGGGGAAUGUUGGUAAAUGGACGAGAGUCUGAACCAGCCAAAUCGCGUGAAGGAAGACUGCCCUACGGGUUGUAAACUUCUUUUGUACAGGAAUAAAAGACAUUACGUGUAAUGUAUUGCAUGUACUGUACGAAUAAGCAUCGGCUAACUCCGUGCCAGCAGCCGCGGUAA